This 601-nucleotide ribosomal RNA is filed under the name Stutzerimonas kunmingensis. RNAcentral's name for it is "bacterial SSU rRNA". It matches the Rfam family "Bacterial small subunit ribosomal RNA", at positions 82 to 679 of the family's 1533-position model. Lineage: Bacteria; Pseudomonadati; Pseudomonadota; Gammaproteobacteria; Pseudomonadales; Pseudomonadaceae. The record is from RNAcentral.
UCUUCUGAUUUCAGCGGCGGACGGGUGAGUAAUGCCUAGGAAUCUGCCUGAUAGUGGGGGACAACGUUUCGAAAGGAACGCUAAUACCGCAUACGUCCUACGGGAGAAAGCAGGGGACCUUCGGGCCUUGCGCUAUCAGAUGAGCCUAGGUCGGAUUAGCUAGUUGGUGAGGUAAUGGCUCACCAAGGCGACGAUCCGUAACUGGUCUGAGAGGAUGAUCAGUCACACUGGAACUGAGACACGGUCCAGACUCCUACGGGAGGCAGCAGUGGGGAAUAUUGGACAAUGGGCGAAAGCCUGAUCCAGCCAUGCCGCGUGUGUGAAGAAGGUCUUCGGAUUGUAAAGCACUUUAAGUUGGGAGGAAGGGCAUUAACCUAAUACGUUAGUGUUUUGACGUUACCGACAGAAUAAGCACCGGCUAACUUCGUGCCAGCAGCCGCGGUAAUACGAAGGGUGCAAGCGUUAAUCGGAAUUACUGGGCGUAAAGCGCGCGUAGGUGGUUUGUUAAGUUGAAUGUGAAAGCCCCGGGCUCAACCUGGGAACUGCAUCCAAAACUGGCAAGCUAGAGUAUGGCAGAGGGUGGUGGAAUUUCCUGUGUAGC